This 447-nucleotide ribosomal RNA is filed under the name uncultured bacterium. RNAcentral's name for it is "partial 16S ribosomal RNA". It matches the Rfam family "Bacterial small subunit ribosomal RNA", at positions 29 to 523 of the family's 1533-position model. The record is from RNAcentral.
AACGAACGCUGGCGGCAGGCUUAACACAUGCAAGUCGAACGCUCCGCAAGGAGAGUGGCAGACGGGUGAGUAACACGUGGGAACGUACCCUUUACUACGGAACAACUCCGGGAAACUGGAGCUAAUACCGUAUGUGCCCUUUGGGGGAAAGAUUUAUUGGUAAAGGAUCGGCCCGCGUUGGAUUAGCUAGUUGGUGGGGUAAAGGCCUACCAAGGCGACGAUCUAUAGCUGGUCUGAGAGGAUGAUCAGCCACAUUGGGACUGAGACACGGCCCAAACUCCUACGGGAGGCAGCAGUGGGGAAUAUUGGACAAUGGGCGCAAGCCUGAUCCAGCCAUGCCGCGUGUGUGAUGAAGGCCUUGGGGUUGUAAAGCACUUUCACCGGAGAAGAUAAUGACGGUAUCCGGAGAAGAAGCCCCGGCUAACUUCGUGCCAGCCGCCGCGGUAA